Molecule: ribosomal RNA, 1445 nt
Filed under: uncultured organism
Description: SSU rRNA
Rfam family: Bacterial small subunit ribosomal RNA
Source: RNAcentral
CUCAGGAUGAACGCUAGCUACAGGCUUAACACAUGCAAGUCGAGGGGCAGCAUGGUCUUAGCUUGCUAAGGCCGAUGGCGACCGGCGCACGGGUGAGUAACACGUAUCCAACCUGCCGUCUACUCUUGGACAGCCUUCUGAAAGGAAGAUUAAUACAAGAUGGCAUCAUGAGUCCGCAUGUUCACAUGAUUAAAGGUAUUCCGGUAGACGAUGGGGAUGCGUUCCAUUAGAUAGUAGGCGGGGUAACGGCCCACCUAGUCUUCGAUGGAUAGGGGUUCUGAGAGGAAGGUCCCCCACAUUGGAACUGAGACACGGUCCAAACUCCUACGGGAGGCAGCAGUGAGGAAUAUUGGUCAAUGGGCGAGAGCCUGAACCAGCCAAGUAGCGUGAAGGAUGACUGCCCUAUGGGUUGUAAACUUCUUUUAUAAAGGAAUAAAGUCGGGUAUGGAUACCCGUUUGCAUGUACUUUAUGAAUAAGGAUCGGCUAACUCCGUGCCAGCAGCCGCGGUAAUACGGAGGAUCCGAGCGUUAUCCGGAUUUAUUGGGUUUAAAGGGAGCGUAGAUGGAUGUUUAAGUCAGUUGUGAAAGUUUGCGGCUCAACCGUAAAAUUGCAGUUGAUACUGGAUAUCUUGAGUGCAGUUGAGGCAGGCGGAAUUCGUGGUGUAGCGGUGAAAUGCUUAGAUAUCACGAAGAACUCCGAUUGCGAAGGCAGCCUGCUAAGCUGCAACUGACAUUGAGGCUCGAAAGUGUGGGUAUCAAACAGGAUUAGAUACCCUGGUAGUCCACACGGUAAACGAUGAAUACUCGCUGUUUGCGAUAUACGGCAAGCGGCCAAGCGAAAGCGUUAAGUAUUCCACCUGGGGAGUACGCCGGCAACGGUGAAACUCAAAGGAAUUGACGGGGGCCCGCACAAGCGGAGGAACAUGUGGUUUAAUUCGAUGAUACGCGAGGAACCUUACCCGGGCUUAAAUUGCAGAUGAAUUACGGUGAAAGCCGUAAGCCGCAAGGCAUCUGUGAAGGUGCUGCAUGGUUGUCGUCAGCUCGUGCCGUGAGGUGUCGGCUUAAGUGCCAUAACGAGCGCAACCCUUGUUGUCAGUUACUAACAGGUUCCGCUGAGGACUCUGACAAGACUGCCAUCGUAAGAUGUGAGGAAGGUGGGGAUGACGUCAAAUCAGCACGGCCCUUACGUCCGGGGCUACACACGUGUUACAAUGGGGGGUACAGAGGGCCGCUACCACGCGAGUGGAUGCCAAUCCCCAAAACCUCUCUCAGUUCGGACUGGAGUCUGCAACCCGACUCCACGAGGCUGGAUUCGCUAGUAAUCGCGCAUCAGCCACGGCGCGAUGAAUACGUUCCCGGGCCUUGUACACACCGCCCGUCAAGCCAUGGGAGCCGGGGGUACCUGAAGUGCGUAACCGCGAGGAGCGCCCUAGGGUAAAACUGGU